GGGAUUUCCGAAGAGAAAACGCGUGAUUUUUGCUUAAAUGGGGGAUUUCUGAUGAGAAAACGCGUGAUAUUUGCUUAAAUGGGGGGUUUCUGAAGAGGAAACACGACAUUUUCGCUACAAUGGGGGAUUUCUGAAGAGAAAACGCGUGAUAUUUGCUUAAAUGUGGGAUUCUCAGAGAUAAAACAGUUGAUAUUCGAUGAAAUGGGGGUUUUCCGAAGAGAAAACGCGUGAUUUUUGCUUAAAUGUGGGAUUUCUGAUGAGAAA
RNAcentral lists this long non-coding RNA (264 nucleotides) under Gallus gallus (chicken). RNAcentral describes it as "lncRNA (ENSGALG00010000464.1)". The record is from RNAcentral. Lineage: Eukaryota; Metazoa; Chordata; Aves; Galliformes; Phasianidae.